GACGAACGCUGGCGGCGUGCCUAAUACAUGCAAGUCGAGCGAAGUUUUUCUGGUGCUUGCACUAGAAAAACUUAGCGGCGAACGGGUGAGUAACACGUAAAGAACCUGCCUCAUAGACUGGGACAACUAUUGGAAACGAUAGCUAAUACCGGAUAACAGCAUUAACUGCAUGGUUGAUGUUUAAAAGUUGGUUUUGCUAACACUAUGAGAUGGCUUUGCGGUGCAUUAGCUAGUUGGUGGGGUAAAGGCCUACCAAGGCGACGAUGCAUAGCCGACCUGAGAGGGUGAUCGGCCACACUGGGACUGAGACACGGCCCAGACUCCUACGGGAGGCAGCAGUAGGGAAUCUUCCGCAAUGGGCGAAAGCCUGACGGAGCAACGCCGCGUGAGUGAAGAAGGAUUUCGGUUCGUAAAGCUCUGUUGUUAGGGAAGAAUGAUUGUGUAGUAACUAUACACAGUAGAGACGGUACCUAACCAGAAAGCCACGGCUAACUACGUGCCAGCAGCCGCGGUAAUACGUAGGUGGCAAGCGUUAUCCGGAAUUAUUGGGCGUAAAGCGCGCGCAGGUGGUUUAAUAAGUCUGAUGUGAAAGCCCACGGCUCAACCGUGGAGGGUCAUUGGAAACUGUUAAACUUGAGUGCAGGAGAGAAAAGUGGAAUUCCUAGUGUAGCGGUGAAAUGCGUAGAGAUUAGGAGGAACACCAGUGGCGAAGGCGGCUUUUUGGCCUGUAACUGACACUGAGGCGCGAAAGCGUGGGGAGCAAACAGG
RNAcentral lists this ribosomal RNA (768 nucleotides) under uncultured bacterium. RNAcentral's name for it is "bacterial SSU rRNA". It matches the Rfam family "Bacterial small subunit ribosomal RNA", at positions 28 to 776 of the family's 1533-position model. The record is from RNAcentral.